AUGCCUAGGGGUGAGUACAGGCUCCUUUCACAGCUCUGUGAAAACCUGUUUCUUCACAGGGAAGCUAUGGAAAUGGCGCCAGCCAUCCCAGCUCUUCAUGGGACUUGGUUCCACCCACUGAACAGGAUUAUUCUUCCCAAGGGGUUCUGUUCUGAGUGUAUGGAAAUAGCAACAAAUGAAGCCUUUCCCAUUUACCUAGAAGUCUCACCUUCUUCUGCAGAAAUGCUAAUGAAGGAGGCUGGAGCUGUAAGAUCGUGUGGGAGACCCCUUUGCUCAGCAGAGCUAUGGAGGUAAGCAUGUAAAGAAUCCUAGAAAAGAGAAGAAAUGUUGGAUUUAUAUCAAAAGCCUAAAAUUGCUUCUGCCCAUUGCUGUCUUUACUACUUUUCUUUCCAUAAAGUGGCAGUUUCAUUACCAUUAGGAUUUUACAGCAGGUUAAUUAGCAUGCCAAAGAUAUUCUGUUUAACUAAGAAUUUUUUUUUUUCUUUUUUUUCUUUUUUUUUUUUUUUUUGCUAUGAGUAUAAGUCCAGAAUAGGAAGCUGCACUGACAUUGUUAAAACUUGAUCAGAGACUAAAAAUAUAGUUGUAACUUCUGAAAAGUAAAUGGCUAUUUCCUGACUUACAUGAAAGUUUCUUUCAUGUGCUAUAUACAAAUGUUUUAAAGCAGUCAUAAAUGAUAAUCUGAAAAGCCCACUUGCAUGGGGGAAUUCUCAGCUAGAAAAAAAACUGGUACAUGGAGUACACAACUUAGGAAAAGCUAAUGCUGCCAGAGUUCUGUGAUCCUUGGCAGAAGCCCUUUGGCUUCUGAUGGACCUCCGGAUGUUUAUAGGCAUUCACAGAAGUCUGAGGCUUCUUGAAACUCUUGUAAACUCUUGGAACUAGGUUCCAUGAGCAGAGGACAGCAGCAACAGAAAGAUUUUUUUUUUUUUUUUUUGUCUUAAUUCAUAUUUUUUUCCACAUCUGUUCUGAGAUGGGUCUGAUUCACCUAAUGUCACACUCAAAAACAUUGCAUCUGCUUUUGAGGAAUUAAUUACAUGUAUGAUCUAGAAACUUUUUCUUUUUUUUUUUUUUUCUCAGACCAGGGAGACCUGCUGGAGUGC
RNAcentral lists this long non-coding RNA (1097 nucleotides) under Phasianus colchicus (ring-necked pheasant). RNAcentral's name for it is "lncRNA (ENSPCLG00000002259.1)". Lineage: Eukaryota; Metazoa; Chordata; Aves; Galliformes; Phasianidae. The record is from RNAcentral.